Molecule: ribosomal RNA, 465 nt
Filed under: uncultured bacterium
Lineage: Bacteria
Description: partial 16S ribosomal RNA
Rfam family: Bacterial small subunit ribosomal RNA
Source: RNAcentral
GAUGAACGCUGGCGGCGUGCUUAACACAUGCAAGUCGAACGGAAAGGCUCCUGCUUGCAGGGGUACUCGAGUGGCGAACGGGUGAGUAACACGUGGGUGAUCUGCCCUGCACUUCGGGAUAGGCCUGGGAAACUGGGUCUAAUACCGGAUAGGACCACAUUUUGGAUGGUGUGGUGGAAAGUUUUUCGGUGUGGGAUGAGCUCGCGGCCUAUCAGCUUGUUGGUGGGGUAAUGGCCUACCAAGGCGUCGACGGGUAGCCGGCCUGAGAGGGUGUACGGCCACAUUGGGACUGAGAUACGGCCCAGACUCCUACGGGAGGCAGCAGUGGGGAAUAUUGCACAAUGGGCGCAAGCCUGAUGCAGCGACGCCGCGUGGGGGAUGACGGCCUUCGGGUUGUAAACUCCUUUCGCUAGGGACGAAGCGCAAGUGACGGUACCUGGAGAAGAAGCACCGGCUAACUACGUG